Long non-coding RNA from Cervus elaphus (red deer), 489 nucleotides. RefSeq lists it as uncharacterized. The transcript is spliced from 3 exons. The record is from RefSeq and is a predicted model, not a curated record. NCBI's taxonomy places the organism in Eukaryota, Metazoa, Chordata, Mammalia, Artiodactyla, Cervidae.
CUAGCAAAGGCCCUACAAGGCCUGAGCUCGUGUCCUUGAUCGGUUCAACGGCUGAGAAGUAAAGAAAUCCUGUGGAGACAAGUAAAACAGCUACUCAAAGCAACAGCCAGGAAUGAGGAACUUGUCAGACUGGGUCUUCCAGCUCAGAGUGCGUCUCUGUCUGAGGAUGUGCUUGGUGGAAGGACAGUUGUUUCCACUGAAUCCUAUCAGAGAGCAUCGCAAAGCCUGCUCUGGACUGGGACCAGCCUCAUACUUGGGAAUAAAGAAGUAUCUCAGGAGUCAUGGAGUCUGCCCUAGCUAUGAGAAAGGCUUCCCACACAGCCAGGAUUUCCCAAGAACAGUAUCAUGAACGGAAGGAUAGUUCCUGUGGCCACGGGGUAGAAGCUGUUUUUCUUACAUGCAGACAGCCUGUGCUACAUACUCUGUGAUUGGGGGAUACAUAUGUGACUGUAAGCCCACAAAAGUUUUAAAUAAAUAUUUGCCCAUAGA